RNAcentral lists this ribosomal RNA (253 nucleotides) under uncultured bacterium. Its description in RNAcentral is "partial 16S ribosomal RNA". It matches the Rfam family "Bacterial small subunit ribosomal RNA", at positions 524 to 776 of the family's 1533-position model. The record is from RNAcentral.
UACGGAGGGUGCAAGCGUUAUCCGGAUUCACUGGGUUUAAAGGGUGUGUAGGCGGGUAUUUAAGUCAGUGGUGAAAUCUCCGAGCUCAACUCGGAAACUGCCAUUGAUACUAUUUAUCUUGAAUAUUGUUGAGGUAGGCGGAAUAUGUCAUGUAGCGGUGAAAUGCUUAGAUAUGACAUAGAACACCGAUUGCGAAGGCAGCUUGCUAAACAAUGAUUGACGCUGAGGCACGAAAGCGUGGGGAUCAAACAGG